CCUACGGGAGGCUGCAGUGGGGAAUAUUGGACAAUGGGCGAAAGCCUGAUCCAGCCAUGCCGCGUGUGUGAAGAAGGCCUUCGGGUUGUAAAGCACUUUCAGUGGGGAAGAAAGCCUUGGGGCUAAUACCCUCGAGGAAGGACAUCACCCACAGAAGAAGCACCGGCUAACUCCGUGCCAGCAGCCGCGGUAAUACGGAGGGUGCGAGCGUUAAUCGGAAUUACUGGGCGUAAAGCGCGCGUAGGCGGUCGAUAAGCCGGUUGGGAAAGCCCCGGGCUCAACCUGGGAACGGCAUCCGGAACUGUCAGGCUAGAGUGCAGGAGAGGAAGGUAGAAUUCCCGGUGUAGCGGUGAAAUGCGUAGAGAUCGGGAGGAAUACCAGUGGCGAAGGCGGCCUUCUGGACUGACACUGACGCUGAGGUGCGAAAGCGUGGGUAGCAAACAGGAUUAGAUACCCCAGUAGUC
RNAcentral lists this ribosomal RNA (464 nucleotides) under Vreelandella stevensii. RNAcentral describes it as "partial 16S ribosomal RNA". It matches the Rfam family "Bacterial small subunit ribosomal RNA", at positions 338 to 795 of the family's 1533-position model. The record is from RNAcentral. Lineage: Bacteria; Pseudomonadati; Pseudomonadota; Gammaproteobacteria; Oceanospirillales; Halomonadaceae.